CAUUAAAAAGAUAAUUUUUAUAAUUUAAUUUGAUAUAAAAAAAUUAUUUAAUGAAAAUUUUAAAAAAAUUUUUUUGUUUUAGUAAUUUUUGAAUAAAUUAAUUUUAUUAUAGCUAAUAAGUAUUGUGAAAGAAAUUUUUAAUAUAAUUAAAGAAAUUUUUAAUUAAUGUACCUUGUGUAUCAGGGCUUAUUAAAUAAAAUUAAAAAUUUUUAAUUUCUCGAAUUAAAAAGAGUAAUUAAUUUAUCAAUUUUAUUGUAAAAUAAAUAUUUAACAUAAAUUAAUUGUAAUGAAACGUUAUUCGUUUUUUAAUAUAUCUAGUUUUAAUUUAAAUAAAUUUAAUUUAUUAAUUAAAAAUUUUUUAUAAUUUUAUAUAAAAAAUUUUUUAAUUAAAAAUAUUUUUUGGGAUAAGCUAAAAAAUAAAAAUAUUGUUUAAAAUUAUUUUUAUUAUUUGUAGAGUUAAAAAUAUUUAUCAUUAAUAAUUUAUUAUAAUUAAUAAUAAAAAUUUAAAAAUUUUAUAUUAAAGAAAUUUUUUAAAUUAAAUUUUUAUAAAAUUUGAAAAUAAAAUUUAUAAUGAUAAGAUUAGUAUAAUUAUUUAAAUAAUAUUUUUUAUAAAAUAGAUUAAUUAAAGGAAUUCGGCAAAUAUAAUUUUCGUCUGUUUAUUAAAAACAUUUUUUUUUGAUUUUAAUUUAAAGUAUAUCCUGCCCAAUGAAAUUUAAAUGGCUGCAGUAUUAUGACUGUACAAAGGUAGCAUAAUCAAUAGUUUCUUAAUUAGAAGCUGGAAUGAAUGGAUUAACGAAAAAUUUUCUGUCUCUUAUUAAAUAAUAGAAUUUUAUUUUUAAGUAAAAAAGCUUAAAUAUAAUUAAAAGACGAGAAGACCCUAUAGAGUUUUAUAUUUAGUAAAUUUUUUAAAAAAAAUUUAUUAAAUAAUUUGUUGGGGUGAUUAAAAAAAUUAAUUAACUUUUUUUAUUUUUAAACAUUAAUUUAUGAAAAAAUGAUCCAUUAUUAUGAUUGAAAGAUCAAAUUACCUUAGGGAUAACAGCGUAAUAUUUUUUUAAAGUACUAAUUAAAAAAAAUGAUUGCGACCUCGAUGUUGGAUUAAAAUUUGUUUUAGGUGUAGAAGCUUAAUAACUGAGUCUGUUCGACUUUUAAAAUUUUACAUGAUCUGAGUUUAAACCGGUGUAAGCCAGGUUGGUUUCUAUCUUUAAUAAAUAAAAAUAUUUCAGUACGAAAGGACCUAAUAUUA
RNAcentral lists this ribosomal RNA (1243 nucleotides) under Stenus boops. RNAcentral describes it as "16S ribosomal RNA". The stretch from base 1032 to 1190 matches the Rfam family "Archaeal large subunit ribosomal RNA", at positions 2544 to 2703 of the family's 2987-position model. The record is from RNAcentral. Lineage: Eukaryota; Metazoa; Arthropoda; Insecta; Coleoptera; Staphylinidae.